CCUACGGGCGGCUGCAGUGGGGAAUAUUGCACAAUGGGCGCAAGCCUGAUGCAGCCAUGCCGCGUGUGUGAAGAAGGCCUUCGGGUUGUAAAGCACUCUCAGCGGGGAGGAAGGCGUUAAGGUUAAUAACCUUGGCGAUUGACGUUACCCGCAGAAGAAGCACUGGCUAACUCCGCGCCAGCAGCCGCGGUAAUACGGAGGGUGCAAGCGUUAAUCGGAAUUACUGGGCGUAAAGCGCACGCAGGCGGUCUGUCAAGUCGGAUGUGAAAUCCCCGGGCUCAACCUGGGAACUGCAUUCGAAACUGGCAGGCUAGAGUCUUGUAGAGGGGGGUAGAAUUCCAGGUGUAGCGGUGAAAUGCGUAGAGAUCUGGAGGAAUACCGGUGGCGAAGGCGGCCCCCUGGACAAAGACUGACGCUCAGGUGCGAAAGCGUGGGGAGCAAACAGGAUUAGAUACCCGGGUAGUC
RNAcentral lists this ribosomal RNA (465 nucleotides) under uncultured Klebsiella sp. RNAcentral's name for it is "bacterial SSU rRNA". It matches the Rfam family "Bacterial small subunit ribosomal RNA", at positions 338 to 795 of the family's 1533-position model. Lineage: Bacteria; Pseudomonadati; Pseudomonadota; Gammaproteobacteria; Enterobacterales; Enterobacteriaceae. The record is from RNAcentral.